UUGCACCUACGGGGGGCAGCAGUGAGGAAUAUUGGUCAAUGGGAGAGAUCCUGAACCAGCCAAGUCGCGUGAGGGAUGACGGCCCUACGGGUUGUAAACCUCUUUUGUCGGGGAGCAAGACCCGCCUCGUGCAGGCGGAGCGAGAGUACCCGAAGAAAAAGCAUCGGCUAACUCCGUGCCAGCAGCCGCGGUAAUACGGAGGAUGCGAGCGUUAUCCGGAUUUAUUGGGUUUAAAGGGUGCGCAGGCAGACCAUCAAGUCAGCGGUAAAAUCGUGGGGCCCAACCCCAUCCCGCCGUUGAAACUG
RNAcentral lists this ribosomal RNA (305 nucleotides) under uncultured bacterium. RNAcentral's name for it is "bacterial SSU rRNA". It matches the Rfam family "Bacterial small subunit ribosomal RNA", at positions 333 to 635 of the family's 1533-position model. The record is from RNAcentral.